UCUCACGAAAUCACAAAAGACCAAGAUGUCAAUGAUAAUUUAUGUAAAAUGGCUUUUGAUGAAAUGUCAAUAAGAAAAAAUCUGACAUAUAACGUAAAACUCAAUGCUAAGGCCGUACUAGUGUGAUAGCAAACCAUAGUCGAACUUUCAUGGUUAUCGGUGUUCGAAAAUGCUGGAAACAGCCAAUAGCAUUUUACUUCUCAGGAGAUUGUGACACAGCAGAUAAGUCAGCAGCUCUUGUCGAGGAGGUACAGUAAAGUGGAGCCACAUAGAGGAGUUUUAUAAUAAAGAUCGCGAGAAUCCCAACCGUGUUUGCUCCAGCUUUAACCCAGCACCACUUACAACCAGUACAGAAUGGCAAAAAGAAAAUCAAAGAGCGCCUAGCAGAUCAAAUUUUAAGCCAUUCGGUUGCAGUUGGAAUAUUUGCCAAAAUGAAUGAUGACAAGACGCCCCUGGAACAACUGUCGCUGGACAAGCUUUUCGACUGAACGGAGAUUCGACCGACAGGAAAGAGGUAUAAACACUUAUUAUAAUAAUACUUGACAUCUGUAAUUGUGGAUGUGAUCCAAACCCCACGUCGGUCCAAUUAAAAACUAGCUUAGGCAAUUAGUAGCAGCGUUUUUAAUACGCUGAAAUUAUUAUUCUUCGAAGACACUAAACCUAGCUGCGCAACUGAAUAUCCCUGUAACAGCCAGGUGGAACCUCCAACCUCCCAGGGAAAUUAAGUGGCAUCGCCGACUCAGCUACGCCUACGUCUGGCUAUGCUCUCGGGGUGUA
Pieris brassicae (large cabbage white) is the source of this 777-nucleotide long non-coding RNA. RefSeq lists it as uncharacterized. The record is from RefSeq and is a predicted model, not a curated record. The transcript is spliced from 3 exons. NCBI's taxonomy places the organism in Eukaryota, Metazoa, Arthropoda, Insecta, Lepidoptera, Pieridae.